Molecule: long non-coding RNA, 1832 nt
Organism: Capsicum annuum
Lineage: Eukaryota; Viridiplantae; Streptophyta; Magnoliopsida; Solanales; Solanaceae
Exons: 2
Source: RefSeq, a predicted model, not a curated record
AACUUCUGCCCUUCGUAUAUGCAGCACAUGAAUAGCGCCACCAAUGUGCACCAGAAUUUGCAGGGUGCUGUCAUACCGAGCUCUAGUUCAGUUGGCAUGCGAAUUCAAUAUCCUUUCUUCUUGUUUAGCUGUCUCAUCUUCUGGAUCUUGAUAUUUCAUAAUCAUCCUUUUCUCUUUGUUUCUGCCGCUUUGUUGUUUUAGCGAUCUGAGUCUGACUGUUGACUUGAAAGUGUGAACUUUGAUGUUGGGCAAAUAUUUUAUGGGCUCUGUGCUUACACAGAUACAAUCUAGUUGAACAAAGUUAUCUUCGGGGACGCUGAACGGGCAAUAUUUACAUGCUGAAGCUCCCUUUGGAAUUUGUGAUUCAUAGGGCUUUUCGGAAGUGGAGAACUCUCAGUUUUUGAAAUAUCAUUAUGAUUGCUGCUAACCGAGAGACACCUGACUAGCAUUUUAUUCAUGAUGUUGGCUUGUUCUUCCUUUGCAAAUGUUGUGGCCAACCUCUUAAAAUUUUUUCCAUUGUUCUUUUUCUUUCCUAACAUCCAAAAUGGAAAGAGAAAAUGAUGAUAGUGCUUUGUGUCUCCACGUGACAUUUGAGAAAGGUCUAUGCUUCUUUAAAAGCUUACACUUUACCUGUAGCCUUUUUCCUAAUACAUAAAACCACGAUCUAUGUGAGAAGUAGAGAUGAUAAUUUAUGCUACAAAGGCGUGAUAGGGCUCAUGCAAAGUACUCCUUUAGGAGUUUGAGUUUUAUAAAUUUCUAACCUGUCCCUGAUUUUAAAAAAAAAUCUAAUCUGUUCUAACAUUCUUUGGAUGACCAUGUUUUCUCCUUAAUAUUCAGCUACAUAGUCAAAGAAUCCAUUUGGGAAACGGAAGGACUUUGGCCACCCAGCUGUUGCCUCCAACGCAAAUGGAGGUCCUCCACCUCUGACCUGCCAGUAGCUUCAGGGAUGUAUUCUGUUCUCUAUGCUCUGCUAAAUACAAAUGCAUCAUGCAGCUGUUGCAUGCAUCCUUGCUAUCAUCAAGUCAUGGGCAUUGUCAUCUUGACAUGAACAUCUUUUUGGACCAUAUCAUAGUUUAUCCUAGACAUGCAUUUGAAGCACUGUCAUCUCAACAUUGUCGGCUUAUUCUGGGUUCACAUUUGUGAUUUCAUAGGAUGCAUUUAAUUUCUGGUCUUACAUCGUGUUGGUCUGUGGUGUCACAUUGUAUUCUACAUUUGAGAAUUUCUUUAUUUGGUACUAACAUAUGUUUUAAACCUCAAAUGACUUGCUAUCACCUCUAUCAAUGUAUUAUGUAUGUAGUGAAAUAGAAUCUGCAUCAUAAAUUGUGAUCAUCCAUCUCAACUCUCUCUGGUUAGGGUUGUCAGUCACUCCAUUAACCUCUUUAACUUAAAACUGAUGAUAACACUGUAACAUCCAGGUUUUCAGAUCCUGGAAAUUCCACUGUGCUUGUGUUAUGCAGGAUAUGUGCUAAAAGAGGGGACUUCCUCUUACUUGGGAAUGGCCAAUUGCUGGAGUUGCUUUGUCCAGCUGACUUCAAUAGUCCAACUGCAAUCAAACGUUUGGACUCCUUGAGUUUCAUGGUUGGCUUUGGUUGGAUAUAUGAUGUGUUACAAUUUAGAGUGAGCGACUUUGAAGAGCAAUAGUUAAAGGAUUUUGUAGGAUCAGAAAAUCCGGAAGAUUCUAAAUCAGCCAGUAUUUGUUCUUUUAUUUAAUUUAGAGGUUAUAACCAUGUAACUUGAUUUCAUUGGUUAAAACUUCGGAAUGGUGCAUUGCCUAAGUUUUAUCAAUGGACUGUUUGGUUGGAGGGACUGAAAAGAUGAUCUCCGAAUGAUUA